Molecule: ribosomal RNA, 236 nt
Filed under: uncultured bacterium
Lineage: Bacteria
Description: partial 16S ribosomal RNA
Rfam family: Bacterial small subunit ribosomal RNA
Source: RNAcentral
CAACGUAGGUAAUCUACCUUCGGGUGGGGAAUAACCCAGGGAAACUUGGGCUAACACCGCAUAAUGCAGCGGCACCACAUGGUGACAGUUGUUAAAGCGGGGGAUUUUAGGACCUCGCGCCUGAAGAGGAGCCUGCGGCGGAUUAGCUAGUUGGUGAGGUAACGGCUCACCAAGGUGACGAUCCGUAGCCGGCCUGAGAGGGCGGUCGGCCACACUGACACUGACAUACGGGUCAG